Molecule: transfer RNA, 89 nt
Filed under: Actinomycetes bacterium
Lineage: Bacteria; Bacillati; Actinomycetota; Actinomycetes
Also listed under: 3 other names
Description: Actinobacteria bacterium tRNA-Ser
Rfam family: tRNA
About the family: Transfer RNA (tRNA) molecules are approximately 80 nucleotides in length.
Source: RNAcentral
GGAGAGGUGUCCGAGUGGCCGAAGGAACGCGACUGGAAAUCGCGUACCUGCCGAAAGGUGGGUCGAGGGUUCGAAUCCCUCCCUCUCCG